UCCGAAUUGGUGUAGUGGUUAACAUUUGUCGCUCUCAAUCUGGAACGGUAGUAGUGCCGACAGGCCCGGGGUUCGAUUCCCCGAUUCGGAA
Non-coding RNA from Sodiomyces alkalinus F11, 91 nucleotides. NCBI's taxonomy places the organism in Eukaryota, Fungi, Ascomycota, Sordariomycetes, Glomerellales, Plectosphaerellaceae. The record is from the annotation of a RefSeq genome assembly.